Long non-coding RNA from Cyprinus carpio (common carp), 635 nucleotides. Lineage: Eukaryota; Metazoa; Chordata; Actinopteri; Cypriniformes; Cyprinidae. The record is from Ensembl.
GAUGGGCCAAUCUCAUUGGAGAACGAAGAGGGGAAACGUUACAGCUGCACAAUGCUGAAGCCGGUUUUCUGCCUGACAGGCACUUAAAGCGAUUCCACUCAUGGAUGAGGUAGGGGGUGCCGGGUGGGGAGGGGGUAAUAUAUCGUUUGCAGGAAGGGGGAAGGUCGUUUCACUUCUUUAGCUCCAAGUUUCUGCGUGGUCUAGAUAGCAGUUAUUUCAAAACCUUAAAUGGAAUAGACUGUGAUAAAGGAGGAUGCUUUACUUUCUUUAUGACACUCAGAGGCUAAAAGCAUGAGACAGAGGGUUCGAUAUUCAGCCGAUCGAUGAGGGAAAAGGCACAAAGGCAAAAUCGGAUGGAGCUCCUUUUCAAAUUCACAUCUCCGAUGUCCCCCCCAGCAGUCUGCGCUGGUGCGACGCACAGGGAGCAAGGGUUACCUCAAGGCUGUUCCGUGGACCAUGCAAACAAGUCUAGACCAGUGACCUGCUCAAUCGCUCCCUUUGAGGGCCAGGCAAGUUCGGUCAGGAAGAAGAAAGCGAGGCGUGCCCUCUUUUCAUUGAGGGAGCAAGGAGGCAGACGGCGGUGUUCAAGCGAAGCUCCUCAGACUGAGCACAUCUCUGCACAGAUGAGCUGAGAG